AAAAAUUUAUAAAUAGUCGGACUUCAUUUACGAAGUGCCUUAAAUUUUUGGCGACAAAGCUUCCGGCGAAGAACCUCCCAGGCCACCAUAGACGAAUACCAGCGACGAAGCUGUCACUGAAAAGAGCUUAGGCGACGAUUUCUUAUAAGCUGUCACUGGAAAGAGCUUAGGCGACGAAUUCUUAUCUCCUAUAUCAUUUGCUUUUUGGGGUUUUUUGAUUAGUUGAUUUCAAGAUUUUUCUGCCCCGACCGCUGAACGGAGAAACCAUGGCAUCUCGAACCUUGGCGAUCCAUCUUUUCAGGAAGGUCCGAACCGUCCAAUAUGGGUCGCCCCGCCUCUUGCACCACGGGCCAGACACUGUGGAGGAGCUUCUCGAUAGGCACAUCGUCAAGGAGGAGAGGAGGAGUCUCAACGACGAUGAUAAUGAAAUCCUGACCCGCCAGCGGCUCACCAGCACUCGCCGCGAGGCGCUUAGUCUCUACCGGGACAUCAUCCGGGCUACCCGGUUCUUCAUGUGGCCCGACUCCCGAGGCGUUCUCUGGCGUGAUAUUCUUAGAGAGAACACCCGGAAGGAAUUCGAGGAGGCGCGAUCCGAAAGGGACCCGGAAGUUAUCACGCGUUUGCUCAUUGGGGGUCGCGACGCUCUGCAAUCUGCGCUUGAUAAACUUGUUGAGAGACAGAAGCAAGAGAUCCAGAAGCAACAAGGCAAUUCAAAAUCUUCUCCAAUUUUGUGAUGGGAGGAAAUGCCUGUAGUCAUUUCCAUAUUUUAUCCCCAGAAACAAAAUUGAUUCUUCCUCCCUUCCCUCUCUUUGAAUUACAUCUCCAUUUAUCUUACCAUUCCCAACAAGUUAAAGUAAUUCAAAGAAAAGCAUCAACUUAGAAUUUCCCAUGAGUGGAAUCUCAAAACAAGCAUGCUAUUUUAGGUUAUGACUCUCAUUGGAUUCAGACAGCAGGUAACUCGGGUCAGGGUCAAGUUUAUUGAUCUCCAGAACAGAUUUAUUAAGAGGAUAUGGGGAAUGUGAGGGGAUCAAUGAGAGAGGUUGACCAUUUAUGUCCUCAUUUUGCUUGAGUUUGAGUCAGAGGCCUGGAGAUUGCGGUGAUGCCAAUGGCUUUAUCUCUCGAAGCGCCAUUAGAGGGUUCUUUAGAAAACAAUAUAUUGUCAACACAAAAUCUUCCAUGUAUUGACAUAGAGAUUAAAGGAAAAACAAUUGCUUAAGAAGCACAAGGUAGUCCAAUAGCUAAACUAGCUACUAGAAUGGUAUUCAAAGGGAUCUAUUAAUUGUUUGAGUGUUGAAGUAAGAUAUUGUCCAAUUUUAUAGCUAAACUACUAAAAUGUUUUUCAUGCUUUUA
This is an RNA transcript of Ipomoea nil (Japanese morning glory), 1350 nucleotides long. RefSeq lists it as uncharacterized. The record is from RefSeq and is a predicted model, not a curated record. NCBI's taxonomy places the organism in Eukaryota, Viridiplantae, Streptophyta, Magnoliopsida, Solanales, Convolvulaceae. The transcript is spliced from 3 exons.